RNAcentral lists this ribosomal RNA (546 nucleotides) under uncultured bacterium. Its description in RNAcentral is "bacterial SSU rRNA". It matches the Rfam family "Bacterial small subunit ribosomal RNA", at positions 355 to 896 of the family's 1533-position model. The record is from RNAcentral.
UAGGGAAUUUUUCACAAUGAGCGAAAGCUUGAUGGAGCAAUGCCGCGUGAACGAUGAAGGUCUUUAAGAUUGUAAAGUUCUUUUAUUUGGGAAGAAUGACUUUAGCAGGUAAUGGCUAGAGUUUGACUGUACCAUUUUGAAUAAGUGACGACUAACUAUGUGCCAGCAGUCGCGGUAAUACAUAGGUCGCAAGCGUUAUCCGGAUUUAUUGGGCGUAAAGCAAGCGCAGGCGGAUUGAAAAGUCUGGUGUUAAAGGCAGCUGCUUAACAGUUGUAUGCAUUGGAAACUAUUAAUCUAGAGUGUGGUAGGGAGUUUUGGAAUUUCAUGUGGAGCGGUGAAAUGCGUAGAUAUAUGAAGGAACACCAGUGGCGAAGGCGAAAACUUAGGCCAUUACUGACGCUUAGGCUUGAAAGUGUGAGGAGCAAAUAGGAUUAGAUACCCUAGUAGUCCACACCGUAACGAUAGAUACUAGCUGUCGGGGCGAUCCCCUCGGUAGUGAAGUUAACACAUUAAGUAUCUCGCCUGGGUAGUACAUUCGCAAGAAUG